GAUGAAGAACGUAGCGAAAUGCGAUACGCAAUGUGAAUUGCAGAAUUCAGUGAAUCAUCGAGUCUUUGAACGCACAUUGCGCCCCCUGGUAUUCCGGGGGGCAUGCCUGUCCGAGCGUCAUUGCUGCCCUCAAGCACGGCUUGUGUGUUGGGCCUCCGUCCUCCUCCCGGGGGACGGGCCCGAAAGGCAGCGGCGGCACCGCGUCCGGUCCUCGAGCGUAUGGGGCUUCGUCACCCGCUCUUGUAGGCCCGGCCGGCGCUUGCCGACACAUCAAUCUUUUUUCCAGGUUGACCUCGGAUCAGGUAGGGAUACCCGCUGAACUUAAGCAUAUCAAUAAGCGGAGGA
RNAcentral lists this unclassified non-coding RNA (345 nucleotides) under soil metagenome. Its description in RNAcentral is "partial contains 5.8S ribosomal RNA, internal transcribed spacer 2, and large subunit ribosomal RNA". The stretch from base 1 to 120 matches the Rfam family "5.8S ribosomal RNA", at positions 35 to 154 of the family's 154-position model. The record is from RNAcentral.